RNAcentral lists this ribosomal RNA (250 nucleotides) under uncultured bacterium. RNAcentral's name for it is "partial 16S ribosomal RNA". It matches the Rfam family "Bacterial small subunit ribosomal RNA", at positions 524 to 773 of the family's 1533-position model. The record is from RNAcentral.
GACGGGGGGGGCAAGUGUUCUUCGGAAUGACUGGGCGUAAAGCGCACGCAGGCGGUCUGUUAAGUCAGAUGUGAAAUCCCCGGGCUUAACCUGGGAACUGCAUUUGAAACUGGCAGGCUUGAGUCUUGUAGAGGGGGGUAGAAUUCCAGGUGUAGCGGUGAAAUGCGUAGAGAUCUGGAGGAAUACCGGUGGCGAAGGCGGCCCCCUGGACAAAGACUGACGCUCAGGUGCGAAAGCGUGGGGAGCAAAC